UUAUUGAAAUGCCUAAAAAGAAUUACUUAUACACUGUUUCAUUUUAACUUAAAGAAAAGUUUACACUACUUUUGUGAAUCUGGGAGAAGAGAACUGUGGGUAAUGUGGUAAAGGGGGCGGAGUCACAACGCUGAACGGCCGAGAAAAUGGCUGAGAUUGGGAUGCAUUUACUGGGCUGUGCAGGGAUUGGGGUAAAAUAAUGAAGCAUGCAAGGGCACUGAAAUCAUAUUUGCACACAAAUCCAGGGUCAGCUAUGCUGCCGUUUUUAGACUCAGGCAUUUUGUCUAGUUUCUCUCCAACAAAACCGGAAGAAACACAUUGAAGUCAAUGUUGAACAAUAACUAUGGGGCACUGAUUCGAGCUAUUGAAAAGCUCCUUAUGACAAGCUUUAGCUGCAUCUUUUUCGUAAGAACCCCCAACAAACAACAAAGUCCAACUUCCUGCACAACAAGCAGGUAACCUGAGACGAGGUGGCUGAGUGGCUAGGGUAAAAGACUGCUAAUCCCUGGUGCGCUGCUCGCGCGGGUUUGAGUCCCAUCCUUGUUGCUCGUCCAACUAAAAGUUAAACCUUCCUCUGGCACAAAGUUGUGCUUACGCAUGAUGAGGUGGCCGAGUGCUUAGGUUAGUACGCUGUACUCUGCAAGCUUAAAUCCCAUCCUCGUUGUUUUGGGAGAGGCCACUGCUUCUGUCUAAGGUUUCUUACUUGCACCUCUUAGCGUCUUAAAGGACGUUAUGGCAAAAACUUUAUGUAAUAUGUAGCGAAAUUAGCGGCAAAAACAUACGUACACGCCACAGUCCAGCCUCCAUCAGGAAAGCGCAUGUAUGCGAGAGGAGGGGGCCGAGUGGAUAAGGCGAUUGCCUGCUAAUCCAUUGUGCUCUGCAUGUGUGCGGUUUAAUCCCGUCGUCGUUGUUCAUUCAAGAGAGCCCAGUGCUUCCGUGGAAGGUUUCUUACUCUCACCCUCUUAGUGCUUCGAAGCAUGUUAUGGCAAAAUUGAAAGUCAUUUGGCUGAAAUUAGUUGCAGAAACAUACAUAAACAAAUAUGUGCCACAGUCUAGCCUCCCUCAGAAAAGUGGGAACAUAUGUGACGAGGUGGCCGAGUGGUUAAGGCGAUGGACUGCUAAUCCAUUGUGCUCUGCACGCGUGGGUUCGAAUCCCAUCCUCGUCGUUUGUUUAGGAGAGGCCGGGGCUUUCAUGGAAGGUAUCUUACUCGCACCAUCUUCGUGCUUGUUAUGGCAAAUUGGAAAGUCAUCUACCGCAGAUGGUUGCAGGAACAUACAUAAAUAAUUAUGUGCCACAGUCCAGGCUCCAUCAGGAAAGUGGGAGCCUACGUGACGAGGUGGUCGAGUGGUUAAGGCGAUGGACUGCUAACUUAUUGUGCUCUGCACGCGUGGGUUCAAAUCCCAUCCUUGACGUUCAAUUGAGAGAGCCAAGUGCUUUCGUGGAAGAUGUUUUACUCUCACCCUCUUAGCGUUUUGAAGGAGGUUGUUGCAAGAUUUAAUUUCAUAUUUACCAAAAAUAGUUGCAAAUACUUACAUACAUGCCACAGCACAGCCCCCACCAGGAAACUGGGUAAAUUCAUGACGAGGUUGCCAAGCGGUUAAGGGGAUGGACUGCUAAUCCACGCGUGGGUUCAAUCCCAUCCUCGUCGUUCAAUUUUUCAGAGAGCCUGGUGCUUCCGCUGAAGUUUUCUGACAACAUUCUGAAGAUUGUCAUGGUUCAGGUGAAUCCAACCUGCUGCAUGUUUAGUGAAACAACUCUGGCGCAAAUUGCAGCAUGUUCAAGAUCCAGACACUCAGCUAUUCUUUUGAACAGAACAUUGAGCCUUCUAGGAGGCUGUCAAAAAUUGCCAGAGCUGACUGUAUUUCAAGCCAUCUCGGCGGGGUAUUGGGUAAAGUUUUCAACCAGCAAUGAUCACGCCUCGGCUAGGCCUCAUAGGCUAUGAUAUUGCCUCUGCGAAAGAAUACCAAUCUCAACAAUGAACUCUUAUAUCUACCAAUCUGGACAUGAAACGACAAGGUGGUAUCAAACUUUAAACUGCUAGCCAUCAGCCUUCUGGCACCAAUGAGUGCAUGCUGUGUCAGUAGAACAGGUUAUUGAAAUGCCUAAAAAGAAUUACUUAUACACUGUUUCAUUUUAACUUAAAGAAAAGUUUACACUACUUUUGUGAAUCUGGGAGAAGAGAACUGUGGGUAAUGUGGUAAAGGGGGCGGAGUCACAACGCUGAACGGCCGAGAAAAUGGCUGAGAUUGGGAUGCAUUUACUGGGCUGUGCAGGGAUUGGGGUAAAAUAAUGAAGCAUGCAAGGGCACUGAAAUCAUAUUUGCACACAAAUCCAGGGUCAGCUAUGCUGCCGUUUUUAGACUCAGGCAUUUUGUCUAGUUUCUCUCCAACAAAACCGGAAGAAACACAUUGAAGUCAAUGUUGAACAAUAACUAUGGGGCACUGAUUCGAGCUAUUGAAAAGCUCCUUAUGACAAGCUUUAGCUGCAUCUUUUUCGUAAGAACCCCCAAGAAACAACAAAGUCCAACUUCCUGCACAACAAGCAGGUAACCUGAGACGAGGUGGCUGAGUGGCUAGGGUAAAAGACUGCUAAUCCCUGGUGCGCUGCUCGCGCGGGUUUGAGUCCCAUCCUUGUUGCUCGUCCAACUAAAAGUUAAACCUUCCUCUGGCACAAAGUUGUGCUUACGCAUGAUGAGGUGGCCGAGUGCUUAGGUUAGUACGCUGUACUCUGCAAGCUUAAAUCCCAUCCUCGUUGUUUUGGGAGAGGCCACUGCUUCUGUCUAAGGUUUCUUACUUGCACCUCUUAGCGUCUUAAAGGACGUUAUGGCAAAAACUUUAUGUAAUAUGUAGCGAAAUUAGCGGCAAAAACAUACGUACACGCCACAGUCCAGCCUCCAUCAGGAAAGCGCAUGUAUGCGAGAGGAGGGGGCCGAGUGGAUAAGGCGAUGGCCUGCUAAUCCAUUGUGCUCUGCAUGUGUGCGGUUUAAUCCCGUCGUCGUUGUUCAUUCAAGAGAGCCCAGUGCUUCCGUGGAAGGUUUCUUACUCUCACCCUCUUAGUGCUUCGAAGCAUGUUAUGGCAAAAUUGAAAGUCAUUUGGCCGAAAUUAGUUGCAGAAACAUACAUAAACAAAUAUGUGCCACAGUCUAGCCUCCCUCAGAAAGGUGGGAACAUAUGUGACGAGGUGGCCGAGUGGUUAAGGCGAUGGACUGCUAAUCCAUUGUGCUCUGCACGCGUGGGUUCGAAUCCCAUCCUCGUCGUUUGUUUAGGAGAGGCCGGGGCUUUCAUGGAAGGUAUCUUACUCGCACCAUCUUCGUGCUUGUUAUGGCAAAUUGGAAAGUCAUCUACCGAAGAUGGUUGCAGGAACAUACAUAAAUAAUUAUGUGCCACAGUCCAGGCUCCAUCAGGAAAGUGGGAGCCUACGUGACGAGGUGGUCGAGUGGUUAAGGCGAUGGACUGCUAACUUAUUGUGCUCUGCACGCGUGGGUUCAAAUCCCAUCCUUGACGUUCAAUUGAGAGAGCCAAGUGCUUUCGUGGAAGAUGUUUUACUCUCACCCUCUUAGCGUUUUGAAGGAGGUUGUUGCAAGAUUUAAUUUCAUAUUUACCAAAAAUAGUUGCAAAUACUUACAUACAU
Danio rerio (zebrafish) is the source of this 3631-nucleotide non-coding RNA. The record is from RefSeq and is a predicted model, not a curated record. NCBI's taxonomy places the organism in Eukaryota, Metazoa, Chordata, Actinopteri, Cypriniformes, Danionidae.